UCCCUGGUGGUCCAGGGGUUAAGACCUGGCUCUUUCACUGCUGUGACCUGGGUUCAAUCCCUGGUUGGGGAA
Molecule: transfer RNA, 72 nt
Filed under: Ovis aries (sheep)
Lineage: Eukaryota; Metazoa; Chordata; Mammalia; Artiodactyla; Bovidae
Rfam family: tRNA
About the family: Transfer RNA (tRNA) molecules are approximately 80 nucleotides in length. Their secondary structure includes four short double-helical elements and three loops (D, anti-codon, and T loops).
Source: Rfam by way of RNAcentral